CCUACGGGUGGCAGCAGUGGGGAAUAUUGCACAAUGGGGGAAACCCUGAUGCAGCGACGCCGCGUGAGUGAAGAAGUAAUUCGGUAUGUAAAGCUCUAUCAGCAGGGAAGAAAAUGACGGUACCUGAGUAAGAAGCCCCGGCUAACUACGUGCCAGCAGCCGCGGUAAUACGUAGGGGGCAAGCGUUAACCGGAUUUACUGGGUGUAAAGGGAGCGUAGACGGGAGUGCAAGUCUGGAGUGAAAGGCGGGGGCUCAACCCCCGGACUGCUCUGGAAACUGUACGGCUGGAGUGCAGGAGAGGUAUGUGGAAUGCCUGGUGUAGCGGUGAAAUGCGUAGAUAUUAGGAAGAACCCCGGUGGCGAAGGCGGCUUACUGGACUGUAACUGACGUUGAGGCACGAAAGCGUGGGGAGCGAACAGGAUUAGAUACCCUUGUAGUC
This 440-nucleotide ribosomal RNA is filed under the name uncultured bacterium. RNAcentral's name for it is "partial 16S ribosomal RNA". It matches the Rfam family "Bacterial small subunit ribosomal RNA", at positions 338 to 795 of the family's 1533-position model. The record is from RNAcentral.